UAACGAUCCUAGCUUGCUAGGAGGCGACGAGUGGCGAACGGGUGAGUAACGCGUAGGAAUCUACCUAGUAGUGGGGGAUAGCCAAGGGAAACUUUGGGUAAUACCGCAUACGAUCUACGGAUGAAAGGGGGCCUCUCUUUGAAGCUCUCGCUAUUAGAUGAGCCUGCGUCGGAUUAGCUUGUUGGUAGGGUAAAGGCCUACCAAGGCGACGAUCCGUAGCUGGUCUGAGAGGAUGAUCAGCCACACUGGGACUGAGACACGGCCCAGACUCC
Molecule: ribosomal RNA, 272 nt
Filed under: unidentified marine bacterioplankton
Lineage: Bacteria
Also listed under: 1 other name
Description: partial 16S ribosomal RNA
Rfam family: Bacterial small subunit ribosomal RNA
Source: RNAcentral